AACGAACGCUGGCGGCAUGCCUAACACAUGCAAGUCGAACGAAGCCUUCGGGCUUAGUGGCGCACGGGUGCGUAACGCGUGGGAAUCUGCCCUUGGGUUCGGAAUAACAGUUAGAAAUGACUGCUAAUACCGGAUGAUGUCUUCGGACCAAAGAUUUAUCGCCCAAGGAUGAGUCCGCGUAGGAUUAGGUAGUUGGUGGGGUAAAGGCCUACCAAGCCGACGAUCCUUAGCUGGUCUGAGAGGAUGAUCAGCCACACUGGGACUGAGACACGGCCCAGACUCCUACGGGAGGCAGCAGUGGGGAAUAUUGGACAAUGGGGGAAACCCUGAUCCAGCAAUGCCGCGUGAGUGAUGAAGGCCUUAGGGUCGUAAAGCUCUUUUACCAGGGAUGAUAAUGACAGUACCUGGAGAAUAAGCUCCGGCUAACUCCGUG
Molecule: ribosomal RNA, 433 nt
Filed under: uncultured bacterium
Lineage: Bacteria
Description: bacterial SSU rRNA
Rfam family: Bacterial small subunit ribosomal RNA
Source: RNAcentral